ACAAUGGUGACACUCAUUAACAUUGGUCAAUUAUUCCUUUCUUGUUUUAAGGACUCAAGCCAUCUUCCAAUACGCAGCCUGACGCUGAGAACGAGCCACAGCCUGCUACCCGAGUGCACAGGCUUUGCGGGUCACGGUCUUCAUUAGCCUGCGUUCCAAGACUGUCCUGCUCGGGCAAAGGAUUUGAAUGUUCAUCACUUCUCAGAGGACCUGUCAACUCCAGUGAAAGCACCGGCAGACAGCUUGUGCCCUAAGAUUCUUUUGACUCUGGUCUGUCAAAAUCCUCGCUUUGCUGUUGCCACCAAUCCUGAAUGGAAAGAUUCUCUUGACGACCGAACUUCCGAUUCUCAGGGGAUCCUGGCCUGCUUUCCGUGCUCGGAGACACCACCAGAACUCUGCCAAAGGGAUCAUUUCCUUUCCUGCGGUAACAGCGAACUCAGCAUUGUCUGAGCACCAGCAGGUAAGACAGAAUCAUCUGUGGGGCUCCCUUCUUGGCCACCCCAGGAGGGAACGUUGAUAUGAUGCCCAGAUGCUCACUGGAUUCAUAGUCAGGUGACACCACUACCCCAUACGUCAAGGUCAAGAUUUGUGCGUGCCUUUCAAGGUCCGUGCGGCCCCGUGAGAAGUCUGGCUACCCUGAAGCCACCAUGCUGAGAGAUCUCGGGGAGAGAACACCUCAAGAGAUGGUCCAGUGACUCCAGCUUUUCCAAAGCCCCAGCUGGUCAAGUCCAUGCACCAGACACAUGAGUGAGGAAGCCUUCCAGAUGACUCCGGCUCAGCCUUACUGUCACAUGACUGUGACGUAUGUCCACCCCCACCUCCCACGCAAAACCUGCCCAGAUGAGCCCAGUCACCCCGCAGAACUGGUAGGGAUAAUAAUACACCAUUGCUGCUGCUUUAAGCACAAUCUUGUGGCCGACUGCUACGCAGUGACAGGUAGCCAGGACAUGUUGCACCUGCUGUGAAAUAGGAUGAUCCGACAUCUUCACCCCUUGAAGAAGAGCUCUAGUAUUUUCCUAUUCCCCAUUUUCUCCUCUCACAUCUGUCUGCCUUACAGAGAACAGUUGAGUCUGUAGCCUUGGAUUUUCUGAAUAAAUUCCUUCCAUGCCUUCACUUGCUCCAAAGGAGAAGAUUCCAGCUGGGCUUCACAUCGGACUUUUCUUGAGAUGGCAGCGUAUUUCAAGAGGGGAUGUGAAUGUGGGUUAGAGACUGGCUUACUUUUCAGGCUGUAAACUUUCUUGAAAGAUAGAUUUCAUCUCUUUGA
Suricata suricatta (meerkat) is the source of this 1264-nucleotide long non-coding RNA. RefSeq lists it as uncharacterized. The transcript has 3 exons. The record is from RefSeq and is a predicted model, not a curated record. Lineage: Eukaryota; Metazoa; Chordata; Mammalia; Carnivora; Herpestidae.